This 253-nucleotide ribosomal RNA is filed under the name uncultured bacterium. RNAcentral describes it as "partial 16S ribosomal RNA". It matches the Rfam family "Bacterial small subunit ribosomal RNA", at positions 524 to 776 of the family's 1533-position model. The record is from RNAcentral.
UACGGGGGGAGCAAGCGUUGUUCGGAUUUACUGGGCGUAAAGGGCGCGUAGGCGGCGUGACAAGUCACUUGUGAAAUCUCCGGGCUUAACCCGGAGCGGCCAAGUGAUACUGUCGUGCUAGAGUGCGGAAGGGGCUACUGGAAUUCUCGGUGUAGCGGUGAAAUGCGUAGAUAUCGAGAGGAACACCGGCGGCGAAGGCGGGUAGCUGGGCCGACACUGACGCUGAGGCGCGAAAGCCAGGGGAGCGAACGGG